This 446-nucleotide ribosomal RNA is filed under the name uncultured bacterium. RNAcentral's name for it is "bacterial SSU rRNA". It matches the Rfam family "Bacterial small subunit ribosomal RNA", at positions 28 to 456 of the family's 1533-position model. The record is from RNAcentral.
GAUGAACGCUGGCGGCGUGCUUAACACAUGCAAGUCGAGCGAAGCACCUUGACGGAUUUCUUCGGAUUGAAGCCUUGGUGACUGAGCGGCGGACGGGUGAGUAACGCGUGGGUAACCUGCCUCAUACAGGGGGAUAACAGUUGGAAACGGCUGCUAAUACCGCAUAAGCGCACAGUACCGCAUGGUACGGUGUGAAAAACUCCGGUGGUAUGAGAUGGACCCGCGUCUGAUUAGGUAGUUGGUGGGGUAACGGCCUACCAAGCCGACGAUCAGUAGCCGACCUGAGAGGGUGACCGGCCACAUUGGGACUGAGACACGGCCCAAACUCCUACGGGAGGCAGCAGUGGGGAAUAUUGCACAAUGGGGGAAACCCUGAUGCAGCGACGCCGCGUGAGCGAUGAAGUAUUUCGGUAUGUAAAGCUCUAUCAGCAGGGAGGAAAAUGACG